AAUUGGAAUGAGUACAAUGUAAAAACCUUAACGAGGAACAAUUGGAGGGCAAGUCUGGUGCCAGCAGCCGCGGUAAUUCCAGCUCCGAUAGCGUAUAUUAAAGUUGUUGCAGUUAAAAAGCUCGUAGUUGGAUUUUGGGAUAAGCUUGUUGGGCCGCCGCGAGGUGUUUGCCCCGACGAGGGUAUCCUUCCUCUCGAAAUUGGCGUGUGCGCUUAAUUGAGUGUGCGUCGAGUUUGGGACUUUUACUGUGAAAAAAUUAGAGUGUUCAAAGCAGGCUAUCGCUUGAAUAUUUCAGCAUGGAAUAAUGGAAUAGGACGUUGGUUCUAUUUUGUUGGUUUCUAGGACCGAAGUAAUGAUUAAUAGGGAUAGUUGGGGGCAUUAGUAUUUAAUUGUCAGAGGUGAAAUUCUUGGAUUUAUGAAAGACUAACUUCUGGGAAAGCAUUUGCCAAGGAUGUUUUCAUUAAUCAAGAACGAAAGUUAGGGGAUCGAAGAUGAUCAGAUACCGUCGUAGUCCUAACCAUAAACUAUGCCGACUAGGGAUUGGU
This 545-nucleotide ribosomal RNA is filed under the name uncultured eukaryote. RNAcentral describes it as "SSU rRNA". It matches the Rfam family "Eukaryotic small subunit ribosomal RNA", at positions 507 to 1057 of the family's 1831-position model. The record is from RNAcentral.